This 429-nucleotide ribosomal RNA is filed under the name Bacteroidota bacterium. RNAcentral describes it as "Bacteroidetes bacterium partial 16S ribosomal RNA". It matches the Rfam family "Bacterial small subunit ribosomal RNA", at positions 355 to 776 of the family's 1533-position model. The record is from RNAcentral. Lineage: Bacteria; Pseudomonadati; Bacteroidota.
UAGGGAAUCUUCCGCAAUGGACGCAAGUCUGACGGAGCAACGCCGCGUGAGUGAAGAAGGAUUUCGGUUCGUAAAACUCUGUUGUUAGAGAAGAACAGCGCAUAGAGUAACUGUUAUGCGUGUGACGGUAUCUAACCAGAAAGCCACGGCUAACUACGUGCCAGCAGCCGCGGUAAUACGUAGGUGGCAAGCGUUGUCCGGCUUUAUUGGGCGUAAAGCGAGCGCAGGCGGUCAAUUAAGUCUGAUGUGAAAGCCCCCGGCUCAACCGGGGAGGGUCAUUGGAAACUGGAUGACUUGAGUGCAGAAGAGGAGAGUGGAAUUCCAUGUGUAGCGGUGAAAUGCGUAGAUAUAUGGAGGAACACCAGUGGCGAAGGCGACACUCUGGUCUGUAACUGACGCUGAGGCUGGAAAGCGUGGGUAGCAAACAGG